GACGAACGCUGGCGGCGUGCUUAACACAUGCAAGUCGAACGGAAAGGCCCUGCUUUUGUGGGGUGCUCGAGUGGCGAACGGGUGAGUAACACGUGAGUAACCUGCCCUUGACUUUGGGAUAACUUCAGGAAACUGGGGCUAAUACCGGAUAGGAGCUCCAGCUGCAUGGUGGGGGUUGGAAAGUUUCGGCGGUUGGGGAUGGACUCGCGGCUUAUCAGCUUGUUGGUGGGGUAGUGGCUUACCAAGGCUUUGACGGGUAGCCGGCCUGAGAGGGUGACCGGCCACAUUGGGACUGAGAUACGGCCCAGGCUCCUACGGGAGGCAGCAGUGGGGAAUAUUGCACAAUGGGCGGAAGCCUGAUGCAGCAACGCCGCGUGCGGGAUGACGGCCUUCGGGUUGUAAACCGCUUUCGCCUGUGACGAAGCGUGAGUGACGGUAAUGGGUAAAGAAGCACCGGCUAACUACGUG
Molecule: ribosomal RNA, 468 nt
Filed under: uncultured bacterium
Lineage: Bacteria
Description: partial 16S ribosomal RNA
Rfam family: Bacterial small subunit ribosomal RNA
Source: RNAcentral